CCAGUGUAUCAAGAGUGAGAUUAAAUUCUCCUCCAACCUGCCCACUCCGGUAAGGUGGAAAAACGAUACGGCAAUCUGCAAUACAAGGAGGAAAC
This 95-nucleotide non-coding RNA is filed under the name unclassified sequences. RNAcentral's name for it is "SAM-I-IV sequence". It matches the Rfam family "SAM-I/IV (S-adenosyl methionine) riboswitch aptamer". From Rfam's summary of the family: It is found upstream of a number of genes which code for proteins involved in methionine or cysteine biosynthesis. It has been found mostly in the order Actinomycetales. The record is from Rfam by way of RNAcentral.